GCAGGCUAGAACUCCAGUGUGAACUUGAGUUGAAGGGUCUGUGAUGGGUGAGUGAGUCCGCAAGAGAGCAGGGAUACACAAGUAGUCCAUGGAGGACCCCAUGCUGGAACAGGUGGAUGCCUGUAGGAGGAUGUGACGUGACCCCGUGAGAAGCCCAUGCUGUAGCAGGAAUUACUGUAACUGGAACCACCCAACCUAAGCCUUACAAGGGAAGAAGGAGGAGAAGCCUUACGAGGAGAAGCCUUACAAGAGGCAGUUGCAGUGCAGCAGUGACCUGACCUGAGUUGGCUUUGGUGCCCACUAACUCCCCACAUACGCAACCUCUCCUGUCCUGAGUGACCAUAACAGAUGGAGCCCAAAGUCAUGGACUACAUAAAUUUAACAGAUGUUUUGUGGACAUUAUGUGGACAGGGGUGGUCCAUAGGCUAAGGGAACAAUGUCUUUGUGUUAUAUCAAAGACUCGGAAGGGAAGUGGUGGUUAAUGAGGUUGUAUUGAACAGUGUGGGACCUGAGCAUGAUGUAAAUGGGAUGGAAUAUGCUGGUUUCAGCAUCAGUAGAGUUAAAUUUCUUCAUAGUGGCUGGUAUGGGGCUGUGUUUUGGAUUUCUGCUGAACACAGGUUUAUAAUACAGAUGUUUCUGUUAUUGCUGGGCAUGGUUUGAACAGAACCAAGGCCUUUUCUGCUUUUCAUGAUGCCACACUGGAAAGGAAGUUGUGGGGUGUAUUGAAGACUGGGAGCAGACACAGCCAGGACAGGUGACCAUAGCUGACCAAAGGGAUAUUCCAGGCCCUAUGACAUCAUGAUCAAUACAUAAAGUGUAAGGAAGAAAGGGGAACUGGGGGAGGACGUUUGGCAUGGUGGCAUUUUUAUCUUCGUAAGUCACCGUUACACGUGAUGGGGCCCUGCUCUUCUGGAAAUCUGCCUGCCCAUGAGUAGCAAUUAAUUAGUUCCUUGCUUUUCUUUGUAUGCUUGGCUUUUGCUUUCCCUAUUAAACUGUCUUCAUCUCAACCCACGAGUUCUCUGGCUUUCACCCUUCCAAUUCUCUCCCCAGUCACACAGGUGGGGGAGUGAGCAAGCGGCAGCGUGAGGCUUGAUUGCUGACUGGGGUUACACCACGACAGUCAUAGAUUGAUGUUUCUUUCAACAUCAGUUUUAACCAUUGACAGUGAUGAUGAUAGAUGAUAUAUACCUUUCCCCAUGGAAAGACACAAAUUCACAAUGCAUUUCCUGCCCUGCAUUCCUAAGAUUGCCCAUCACAUCCCUUAUCAUCUAUGCUGCCACUUUUAUUUUAAAAACUUGCCCACCCAUAACCACUACCGUCAUCCACCUACUCUGCAUCAGCUUCAACUAUCUCUUGGGACCUCCCAAACACACAUAUGCACAAAACAAACCAACGCAGACCUGAUGAGUAUUACCAAUCUUCUGUCUCAUUUUUCUCCUUGCAGUAGAGCAUUUUCCAGAGGGCAGGAUGGGGCUAGGGAGCGUGCCUGAAGAGCCAGAAAAGCAAAUGGGAAUGUUGUGUACCUUAAGAAAAGGUGUCUUUUUAAAAUCUUGUGGCAAGGGUACGGAAGGAUAGGAUUGAGAGUGUUAUCCUGGGUUUAGCUUCCAAAAAAAAAUAUUAAAAAGAUGAUUUUCCAGA
Molecule: long non-coding RNA, 1638 nt
Organism: Parus major (Great Tit)
Lineage: Eukaryota; Metazoa; Chordata; Aves; Passeriformes; Paridae
Exons: 2
Source: RefSeq, a predicted model, not a curated record